UAAUACGUAGGGGGCGAGCGUUAUCCGGAUUUACUGGGCGUAAAGCGCGUUAAGGCGGUUGGCAAAGUUGGUGGUGAAAUCCCAGGGCUCAACCCUGGAACUGCCUCCAAUACUGGUCGACUAGAGUGUGAGAGAGGAAGGUGGAAUUCCCGGUGUAGUAGUGAAAUGCGUAGAUAUCGGGAGGAACACCAGUGGCGAAGGCGGCCUUCUGGCUCACAACUGACGCUGUAGCGCGAAAGCGUGGGGAGCGAACGGGAUUAGAUACCCCGGUAGUCCACGCCCUAAACGAUGUGUACUAGGUGUUGGCCGUAUUGACGCGGUCAGUGCCGUAGCUAACGCAUUAAGUACACCGCCUGGGGAGUACGGUCGCAAGAUUA
This 377-nucleotide ribosomal RNA is filed under the name uncultured bacterium. Its description in RNAcentral is "bacterial SSU rRNA". It matches the Rfam family "Bacterial small subunit ribosomal RNA", at positions 521 to 896 of the family's 1533-position model. The record is from RNAcentral.